Molecule: non-coding RNA, 259 nt
Organism: Pelobates cultripes (western spadefoot toad)
Lineage: Eukaryota; Metazoa; Chordata; Amphibia; Anura; Pelobatidae
Source: the annotation of a GenBank genome assembly
CCUGUCUCCACAACACCACUAACCUCAGUGCCUGAGCCUGUCUCCACAACACCACUAGCCUCAGUGCCUCUCUCCACAACACCACUACUCUCAGUGCCUCUCUCCACAACAUCACUACCCUCAGUGCCUGUCUCCAUAACACCAUUACACUCUGAAAGUGCAGAAAAUGAAUAAUGUAGAGCAACAGACUGUGCAAUAUGCCUUUUAUCCACAACUCUAAGUCUACCAGAUCCUACAGUAAUCCAUCUGCCAUUCCUAG